AUGGGGGGGAUGCGGGGGGACCCGAGGAGGCUCCCGAGAGGAUGGGGGAGAUGCAGGGGGGAUGCAGGGGGCGGACCUGAGGAGCCUCCCGAGGGGAUGGGGGGACCCGAAGAGCCUCCCGAGGGGAUUGGGGGGGGAUACGGGGGGGCCAGAGGAGCCGCCCGAGGGGAUGCGGGGGGGAUACGGGGGGCCCGAGGAGCCUCCCGAGGGGAUGCGGGGGGGCUCCCGGGUGACACCCAGGCUGUGACCUGCCUCGGGGGGCGCGAGCCCUGUGCCCGGGGCUGCCCGACCGUGUCCCCGGCUGCGCGUGGUGGCGACGCGGUGGCUGCCCGGGCCCGCGGCGCGGGUGGUCCCGGGGAGAGGGGCUGGCGGGGAGCCCGGGCCGCUGCGGGGGCAGGAGCGCGGCCGCCUCGGGCCGGGCAGGCGCGCGGGGGCGGGGGCGGGGGCGGGGGCGGAGCGCGCGGGCGGGAUCCCCCCGCCUCCCCGUCCCGGUCCCCGGGAAAUCCAGCCUCCGUGGCUUGGCCGCCUCCCGCUCCCGCGCCCGCAGCCGCCCGGCGCUCGCUCGGGGCUCCGCAGCCGGCGCGGCCCCUCCGCCGGGGGCUCCGCAGUGCCGCCCCCCCGCCGCCCGCACCAUGGCCCCCGGCCGGAGCCCCAGCCGGGCCAGGUAAGCGCGGGGGGCCGGGGCCGCGCCCUCGGCAGCGCCCCCCAGCCUCGGCCUGGCUGCGGCCCCGGCGCCGCCCACGCCCCGGGCGCCCGCGGCCUCGGCUCCGGGCCCGGGGAGGGGGGAGGGGGCGGGGGGAGGGGAGAGGGGGGAGGGACGGGGUUGGGGUGGAGGGGAGGGGUGGAGGGAAGGAGGGAGCCCUGGGCCGCCCCCCCCGCCCCCGCCCCUGCAGGCGGCCGCGGCCUGACCCCGAGCAGGGGGGCGGCGGGAGGGCCGCGCGGGGCCGAGGGGGCUGCGGGCCGGCGCGGGGGGCUCGGGGGGCCCGGGCCGCGGGGGGGGCAGCCCGCCGGCCGCGGGGGCAGCGGUGGUGUCGGGGAGACCCGGAGAGAAGUUUCCCCUGCAGGUGCGCGAGUGUGCGUGCGUGUCACGGUGCCCGCGGUGAGUGUGCGAGUGUCCCCGCGUGGGUCUGCGGGCGGCCGUGUGCGCGGCGCGAGCGUGUCCGCGGGUGUGUGCGGUGUGAGCGUGGAGUGUGUCGCUGUGUGUGUCUGUAG
Molecule: long non-coding RNA, 1212 nt
Filed under: Canis lupus familiaris (dog)
Lineage: Eukaryota; Metazoa; Chordata; Mammalia; Carnivora; Canidae
Description: lncRNA (ENSCAFG00040008557.1)
Source: RNAcentral